CUGCAUCUGUUUUGCAGAAGGUGGCCUCUUCCUCUUCUAGAAGUCUGUAGGCUUUAUCCUUGGAGACUUCUCUAGACCCCUCUUGAUGCAAUGGCAUGUUUUAGACACUUAGAAAACAGCGUCUAGAUAAGGGAAGUCAGGCACUGUUCUCCAUUUGUCUUCAUAUCUCCAGACGUUUCGUGUGUCCCAUUCCUCUUCUGCUGCCUUCACUACAUAGUUUAAAAGAAAAGAAUAGGGACCUGCCAGCUACGGUGAAUAUUAAUCAUUUGUUUGUUUUAGGUCUGACUCUAUCUCACAA
Molecule: long non-coding RNA, 298 nt
Filed under: Bos taurus (domestic cattle)
Lineage: Eukaryota; Metazoa; Chordata; Mammalia; Artiodactyla; Bovidae
Description: long non-coding RNA NONBTAT009139
Source: RNAcentral